RNAcentral lists this ribosomal RNA (440 nucleotides) under uncultured bacterium. RNAcentral's name for it is "partial 16S ribosomal RNA". It matches the Rfam family "Bacterial small subunit ribosomal RNA", at positions 338 to 795 of the family's 1533-position model. The record is from RNAcentral.
CCUACGGGGGGCAGCAGUGGGGGAUAUUGCACAAUGGGGGAAACCCUGAUGCAGCGACGCCGCGUGAGUGAAGAAGUAUUUCGGUAUGUAAAGCUCUAUCAGCAGGGAAGAAAAUGACAGUACCUGACCAAGAAGCCCCGGCUAACUACGUGCCAGCAGCCGCGGUAAUACGUAGGGGGCAAGCGUUAUCCGGAUUUACUGGGGGUAAAGGGAGCGUAGACGGUUAUGUAAGUCUGGAGUGAAAUCCCGGGGCUUAACCCCGGAACUGCUUUCAAAACUGCUGGUCUUGAGUGAUGGAGAGGCAGGCGGAAUUCCGGGUGUAGCGGUGAAAUGCGUAGAUAUACGGAGGAACACCAGUGGCGAAGGCGGCCUGCUGGACAUUAACUGACGCUGAGGAGCGAAAGCGUGGGGAGCAAACAGGAUUAGAUACCCCUGUAGUC